RNAcentral lists this long non-coding RNA (599 nucleotides) under Rattus norvegicus (Norway rat). RNAcentral describes it as "long non-coding RNA NONRATT031039". Lineage: Eukaryota; Metazoa; Chordata; Mammalia; Rodentia; Muridae. The record is from RNAcentral.
AAAAAUUUGGAGCUACACUAGAAAUUGUCACAGUUAAGUCACAAGAAGGAUCACAGUUUGUGAAAGGAUUUGGUGGAAUUGGAGGUAUCUUGCCGUACUGAGUAGAUUUCCAGGGAAUGGAAUACCAAGGAGGAGAUGACGAAUUUUUUUGACCUUGAUGACUACAAGGUAGUCGACGUGGGUCCGGCAAAACAUGCCUCACCCUCCAGCAUUCAACCCAAGGAGCAUACCCUUGGUGGAAUCCAAACAGAUCCCUGCCUUACAAUUGGAACAUUUCCAGAACUUAAUCGGUGAGCAUCAGAUACUGAAAAGAAAAGCGAAACAAAACCAGACCCAACCCUACACUUUGGUUUGUCAUGGUGUCAGCACAGUAGCCUACAACUAAGUCCCUAAAUGCCACUUUGGACUAACUUAAAAGAAUUCCAGUUUUUACUUUUUCUUGAUGGUAAAAUUGGUUGCUCUUGUAUUUUACAAAAAAAAUAUGUUUUUAACCUUCAUACAUAGAAGCAAAAUACUUGAACUGAUGUAAACCUUCAGAAGUCAGUAGAAGUGAGAUCAUACUGGUUUGUUUCUUCCUUUGAUCAGAAAAUAACUAAAUU